RNAcentral lists this ribosomal RNA (427 nucleotides) under uncultured bacterium. RNAcentral describes it as "bacterial SSU rRNA". It matches the Rfam family "Bacterial small subunit ribosomal RNA", at positions 355 to 774 of the family's 1533-position model. The record is from RNAcentral.
UGGGGAAUAUUGGACAAUGGGCGCAAGCCUGAUCCAGCAAUGCCGCGUGUGUGAAGAAGGCCUGCGGGUUGUAAAGCACUUUCAGUGGGGAGGAAGGCCUCGGCGUUAAUAUCGUCGAGGAUUGACGUUACCUACAGAAGAAGCACCGGCUAACUCUGUGCCAGCAGCCGCGGUAAUACAGAGGGUGCAAGCGUUAAUCGGAAUUACUGGGCGUAAAGGGCGCGUAGGUGGUUAAUUAAGUCAGAUGUGAAAUCCCCGGGCUUAACCUGGGAAUUGCAUUUGAAACUGAUUUGCUAGAGUACGGGAGAGGGAAGGGGAAUUUCCGGUGUAGCGGUGAAAUGCGUAGAUAUCGGAAGGAACACCAGUGGCGAAGGCGACUUCCUGGCCCGCUACUGACACUGAGGCGCGAAAGCGUGGGGAGCGAACA